This 390-nucleotide ribosomal RNA is filed under the name uncultured bacterium. Its description in RNAcentral is "bacterial SSU rRNA". It matches the Rfam family "Bacterial small subunit ribosomal RNA", at positions 30 to 420 of the family's 1533-position model. The record is from RNAcentral.
AUUGAACGCUGGCGGCAUGCUUUACACAUGCAAGUCGAACGGUAACAGGGAGCUUGCUCUGCUGACGAGUGGCGAACGGGUGAGUAAUGCAUCGGAACAUGCCCAGUCAUGGGGGAUAACUACGCGAAAGCGUAGCUAAUACCGCAUACGCCCUGAGGGGGAAAGUGGGGGAUCUUAGGACCUCACGUGAUUGGAGUGGCCGAUGUCAGAUUAGCUAGUUGGUGAGGUAAAGGCUCACCAAGGCGACGAUCUGUAGCGGGUCUGAGAGGAUGAUCCGCCACACUGGGACUGAGACACGGCCCAGACUCCUACGGGAGGCAGCAGUGGGGAAUUUUGGACAAUGGGCGCAAGCCUGAUCCAGCCAUGCCGCGUGAGUGAAGAAGGCCUCGG